ACGAACGCUGGCGGCGUGCUUAACACAUGCAAGUCGAACGGAAAUGCCCUGCUUUUGUGGGGUGCUCGAGUGGCGAACGGGUGAGUAACACGUGAGUAACCUGCCCUUGACUUUGGGAUAACUUCAGGAAACUGGGGCUAAUACCGGAUAGGAGCUCCUGCUGCAUGGUGGGGGUUGGAAAGUUUCGGCGGUUGGGGAUGGACUCGCGGCUUAUCAGCUUGUUGGUGGGGUAGUGGCUUACCAAGGCUUUGACGGGUAGCCGGCCUGGGAGGGUGACCGGCCACAUUGGGACUGAGAUACGGCCCAGACUCCUACGGGAGGCAGCAGUGGGGAAUAUUGCACAAUGGGCGGAAGCCUGAUGCAGCAACGCCGCGUGUGGGAUGACGGCCUUCGGGUUGUAAACCGCUUUCGCCUGUGACGAAGCGUGAGUGACGGUAAUGGGUAAAGAAGCACCGGCUAACUACGUG
Molecule: ribosomal RNA, 467 nt
Filed under: uncultured bacterium
Lineage: Bacteria
Description: partial 16S ribosomal RNA
Rfam family: Bacterial small subunit ribosomal RNA
Source: RNAcentral